This 468-nucleotide ribosomal RNA is filed under the name uncultured bacterium. RNAcentral's name for it is "partial 16S ribosomal RNA". It matches the Rfam family "Bacterial small subunit ribosomal RNA", at positions 28 to 507 of the family's 1533-position model. The record is from RNAcentral.
GACGAACGCUGGCGGCGUGCUUAACACAUGCAAGUCGAACGGAAAGGCCCUGCUUUUGUGGGGUGCUCGAGUGGCGAACGGGUGAGUAACACGUGAGUAACCUGCCCUUGACUUUGGGAUAACUUCAGGAAACUGGGGCUAAUACCGGAUAGGAGCUCCUGCUGCAUGGUGGGGGUUGGAAAGUUUCGGCGGUUGGGGAUGGACUCGCGGCUUAUCAGCUUGUUGGUGGGGGAGUGGCUUACCAAGGCUUUGACGGGUAGCCGGCGUGAGAGGGUGACCGGACACAUGGGGACUGAGAUGCGGCCCAGACUCCUACGGGGGGCAGCAGUGGGGAAUAUUGCACAAUGGGCGGAAGCCUGAUGCGGCAACGCCGCGUGAGGGAUGACGGCCUACGGGUUGUAAACCGCUUUCGCCUGUGACGAAGCGUGAGUGACGGUAAUGGGUAAAGAAGCACCGGCUAACUACGUG